CCUAAGUUUGACUUUAGCUUUAAUUAUAGGUUUAGCUGGCAGGCAUAUGCAAGUAAGAGCGUUCUCCAACAAGAUAAAAGGUGGCGCAAUGUCAAGCACUGGAUAAAAUUGUAAAAUUGUUUCGGGCUUAGCUAAAAAAACCUGGAUAAUCAUGUGCCAGCAUCCGCGGUUACACAUUUAGGGUUCUAUAAGUAAUCGGGCUAAACCAAUAUUUUAAAUACUGUAACUCAUCUCUCAAGAGGUCAAAUUUUGAGAUUUACUUUCAUAUUAGUUUACGUAAAACGUGGUUGAAAGCAUAGAGAGAAACAAGGAUUUGAUACCCUUUUAUCCUUUGCUGUAAAGUGGUCCCCGGGCAGUAUAGGCACAGGCCCGAAACCCAAAAACCUUGGCGGCGUCCCUGUUCUAGGGGAACCUGUCUCUUAAUUCGAUAAUCCCCGAUUUACCCUUUCUGAAGAAGGCCUUGUACGGCCGUAAAUAAGUUGACUUCGUAAGGAGGAUGCUCAACGGUUAGUAGUAUAAAGUAGCUUUUUAUACUGGGCCUAAAAGACAGGUCACGUGAGGCUAAUGGGAGGGGGAGGAUGGGUUACAACCCUUAGAAGGAUUACUGAUUAAAUUUUUUAUUAAUUUCAUGAAGGUGGACUUAGUAGUAAGAGUGCUUUUCACUCUGAAAAUCAAGGGGGGCGUGUACAAAUCGCCCGUCGCUCUCGUCGAAAGAUGAGAUAAGUCGUAACAGAGUAGGUGUAACGGAAGUUGCACCUAAUUAAAA
RNAcentral lists this non-coding RNA (766 nucleotides) under Armandia sp. GK-2021. The record is from RNAcentral. Lineage: Eukaryota; Metazoa; Annelida; Polychaeta; Opheliidae.